This 687-nucleotide ribosomal RNA is filed under the name Streptomyces niger. Its description in RNAcentral is "bacterial SSU rRNA". It matches the Rfam family "Bacterial small subunit ribosomal RNA", at positions 62 to 764 of the family's 1533-position model. The record is from RNAcentral. Lineage: Bacteria; Bacillati; Actinomycetota; Actinomycetes; Kitasatosporales; Streptomycetaceae.
UCGAACGAUGAACCGGUUUCGGCCGGGGAUUAGUGGCGAACGGGUGAGUAACACGUGGGCAAUCUGCCCUGCACUCUGGGAUAAGCCCGGGAAACUGGGUCUAAUACCGGAUACGACACUCCAAGGCAUCUUGGAGUGUGGAAAGUUCCGGCGGUGCAGGAUGAGCCCGCGGCCUAUCAGCUUGUUGGUGGGGUAAUGGCCUACCAAGGCGACGACGGGUAGCCGGCCUGAGAGGGUGACCGGCCACACUGGGACUGAGACACGGCCCAGACUCCUACGGGAGGCAGCAGUGGGGAAUAUUGCACAAUGGGCGAAAGCCUGAUGCAGCGACGCCGCGUGAGGGAUGACGGCCUUCGGGUUGUAAACCUCUUUCAGCAGGGAAGAAGCGAAAGUGACGGUACCUGCAGAAGAAGCACCGGCUAACUACGUGCCAGCAGCCGCGGUAAUACGUAGGGUGCGAGCGUUGUCCGGAAUUAUUGGGCGUAAAGAGCUCGUAGGCGGUUUGUCGCGUCGAUUGUGAAAGCCCGGGGCUUAACCCUGGGUCUGCAGUCGAUACGGGCAGGCUAGAGUUCGGCAGGGGAGACUGGAAUUCCUGGUGUAGCGGUGAAAUGCGCAGAUAUCAGGAGGAACACCGGUGGCGAAGGCGGGUCUCUGGGCCGAUACUGACGCUGAGGAGCGAAAGCGUGA